Molecule: ribosomal RNA, 254 nt
Filed under: uncultured bacterium
Lineage: Bacteria
Description: partial 16S ribosomal RNA
Rfam family: Bacterial small subunit ribosomal RNA
Source: RNAcentral
UACGAAGGGGGCUAGCGUUGCUCGGAAUCACUGGGCGUAAAGGGUGCGUAGGCGGGUCUUUUAAGUCAGGGGUGAAAUCCUGGAGCUCAACUCCAGAACUGCCUUUGAUACUGAGGAUCUUGAGUUCGGGAGAGGUGAGUGGAACUGCGAGUGUAGAGGUGAAAUUCGUAGAUAUUCGCAAGAACACCAGUGGCGAAGGCGGCUCACUGGCCCGAUACUGACGCUGAGGAGCGAAAGCGUGGGGAGCGAACAGG